GACGAACGCUGGCGGCGUGCUUAACACAUGCAAGUCGAACGGUAAGGCCCUUCGGGGUACACGAGUGGCGAACGGGUGAGUAACACGUGGGUGAUCUGCCCUGCACUUCGGGAUAAGCCUGGGAAACUGGGUCUAAUACCGGAUAGGACCACUGCCUACAUGGGUGGUGGUGGAAAGCUUUUGCGGUGUGGGAUGGGCCCGCGGCCUAUCAGCUUGUUGGUGGGGUGAUGGCCUACCAAGGCGACGACGGGUAGCCGGCCUGAGAGGGUGACCGGCCACACUGGAGCUGAGAUACGGCCCAGACUCCUACGGGAGGCAGCAGUGGGGAAUAUUGCACAAUGGGCGCAAGCCUGAUGCAGCGACGCCGCGUGAGGGAUGACGGCCUUCGGGUUGUAAACCUCUUUCAGCACCGACGAAGCGCAAGUGACGGUAGGUGCAGAAGAAGGGCCGGCCAACUACGUGCCAGCAGCAGCCGCCG
Molecule: ribosomal RNA, 478 nt
Filed under: uncultured bacterium
Lineage: Bacteria
Description: partial 16S ribosomal RNA
Rfam family: Bacterial small subunit ribosomal RNA
Source: RNAcentral